GCACAACGCGAAGAACCUUACCUGGUCUUGACAUAGUAAGAACUUUCCAGAGAUGGAUUGGUGCCUUCGGGAACUUACAUACAGGUGCUGCAUGGCUGUCGUCAGCUCGUGUCGUGAGAUGCUGGGUUAAGUCCCGCAACGAGCGCAACCCUUUCCUAUUUGCCAGCGGGUUAAGCCGGGAACUUUAAGGAUACUGCCAGUGACAAACUGGAGGAAGGCGGGGACGACGUCAAGUCAUCAUGGCCCUUACGACCAGGGCUACACACGUGCUACGAAUGGUCGGUACAAAGGGUUGCUACCUAGCGAUAGGAUGCUAAUCUCAAAAAGCCGAUCGUAGUCCGGAUUGGAGUCUGCAACUCGACUCCAUGAAGUCGGAAUCGCUAGUAAUCGCGGAUCAGAAUGCCGCGGUGAAUACGUUCCCGGGUCUUGUACACACCG
This 438-nucleotide ribosomal RNA is filed under the name uncultured bacterium. RNAcentral's name for it is "bacterial SSU rRNA". It matches the Rfam family "Bacterial small subunit ribosomal RNA", at positions 954 to 1392 of the family's 1533-position model. The record is from RNAcentral.